GGCGAACGCUGGCGGCGUGCUUAACACAUGCAAGUCGAACGGAAAGGCCCUGCUUUUGUGGGGUGCUCGAGUGGCGAACGGGUGAGUAACACGUGAGUAACCUGCCCUUGACUUUGGGAUAACUUCAGGAAACUGGGGCUAAUACCGGAUAGGAGCUCCUGCUGCAUGGUGGGGGUUGGAAAGUUUCGGCGGUUGGGGAUGGACUCGCGGCUUAUCAGCUUGUUGGUGGGGUAGUGGCUUACCAAGGCUUUGACGGGUAGCCGGCCUGAGAGGGUGACCGGCCACAUUGGGACUGAGAUACGGCCCAGACUCCUACGGGAGGCAGCAGUGGGGAAUAUUGCACAAUGGGCGGAAGCCUGAUGCAGCAACGCCGCGUGCGGGAUGACGGCCUUCGGGUUGUAAACCGCUUUCGCCUGUGACGAAGCGUGAGUGACGGUAAUGGGUAAAGAAGCACCAGCUAACUACGUG
Molecule: ribosomal RNA, 468 nt
Filed under: uncultured bacterium
Lineage: Bacteria
Description: partial 16S ribosomal RNA
Rfam family: Bacterial small subunit ribosomal RNA
Source: RNAcentral